GCACGGAUGGUUGUGCUAUCCGUCGGUCUACUAGUGCUGAUUUCUCAACUGGGUACAAUUUUCGCGUGGAAAUAUACACAUUACAAAGGAAUACUCUUGCUAUCCAAGGACCUGUGCGCUAACAGGUGCAAGCUGAAACAUGGGUUCUUCAAAGACGGUAAUGGUGUUUAUCAACCGGCUUCAGUUGCGAAGAGAUACAUCAUCAAGUGCCAGUGCAUGGUUUCUCGUCAGCUAAAGACAUACAUCAAGAAAAGAUGGGGUAAAAGGGCAUCAAUAUGGUACAGUUUCUACAACUUCUUCGGGAUGAAGAAGCGGUCGCGGACGUACCUGCAGAAGCGGAUCGUAAAGGAGAAAAAAACGGAAAAGUUCGUCAAAGAAAUCGAGUUCAUAACGUACGAAAAGCUGCACGGAAUGAUGGAUAAAACCGAGGAGAUCCAGCGAAGUUGGAGUUCAAGCUCGAGCUUUUCCUCUGGGUCGGGACUAGGAAGGCUGCCCUCCGACAAAGCUAUCCAGAACACGAUGCCCGAGAUUGAGAUUCAGACUUACGGGGACGACGGGAAGCCGAUACCGGGCAAGAAGCGAACCGUGGUCCUGAGCUCCGCGGAGAGUAAGCAAUUCAAAGACCUGCUCCAGGAGGUGGUGCAGAGGACCAGGAAGGAAGAUGAGAAGACCAGCAAGGAAGAUGGUGAGGCAUCGAUGGCAAGUGUGGCGGUGACUCGAACGACGUCGAAGCUAACUUGCGGCCACUUUUGAUGUGACUCACAGGUUUUGCCUAGAGUCCCUUUAUACUGAGAGUCAAGACAAUGUGAAUCCAUUUCUGAUUGGUUCCCGUGUUUUAGGCCUUCACAGUGUCACCAGAGACAAGAGACCCUCCACUGGCCUCUUCGCGACAUGAGUAGAGUGCCUGUAUAGCGAGAGUAUGGACAGAUGUGAAACUCCGAAAAUCCAUCAGGCCUUCACCGAUGCCUCCGCGAACAAAGUUAGGGCCCAGAAAUGCAGCCAACCUACGAAUUUCAAUUACCCAGAACGAUUUACUGAUACUAUUGUUACGAACCGUCGUUUAUUAAGCACGUGUUUGACUCAGUUUUUGCAUAAAUUUACUUAAUUUCGCGGAAAAACGCUCAUUUCUGUACAUUCUUGGCCAUCUUGGUUAGAAUUGGAAUCUGCAGACUGGCAGUGAAAUUUUGUGCGUUAGAAGUUGGUUAGAUGGAUGGCUGCACUUUUGGGUCCUAAGCCCUCCAUGAAGCGAUCUGUCCAUACUCUCGCUAUAAGCCCUGGAUAGACGAUCAAAUUCCCGAACCAAUUCCGAUCAAAGUAGCAUCAAAGUGUCGGGAGUCAUCAGUCUUAAACUCAUUAAUUUGCUUCAUUUUAAAAUGAAAACUUGGCAGAAAUGUUUCCUGUGGCAAGAAAUGAUGAAUAGUGGCUCUCCGUUCUGAUCUCACUUUGAACAAAAAAGUGCGGCCCGUCAACAUUUGAUGGUAGAUGGUGACCACCAGUCAUCAGCAUACUUUGAUCGGAAUUUGAUCGUCUAUCCAGGGCUAUACAGGUACUCUAGACAUGAGGAGGCUUUUACUUUCGGGGAUUCAACACUUCCUUAUAGACAAUUAUAAGGGAGCAACAGUCAUCACUCUUUUUUCGGCUGUUGACCCACCUACAUGGUGGAUAAUGAGCUUCGGGUGACGUCAUGAGCCAAACAAGUUCCCCAAACUACGGCUUGUUUGCAAAACGAACUGCCAGCACGUUGUUAAACAUCAACCAUGUAGGUAAGUCAACAGUUUAAUGUUGAUGUCCCGAAUGUAAAAGCUUCCACAAUAGCCGAGGUACCCGUGGAGGGUCUCUUGUCUCUGAGUGUCACGAACGGGAAUAAAGAUUACAUUUUCAUCGAAUGCAAAGAUAAUAAUCUGGAAUGGACCGAGGAGUUACGGGUUCGGCAAGGAACAAACGGAAUGAGAGAAGGAACGGAGAAAGGAAUUUGAGAAUGGGCCGAUCAAAGAUUACGAAAAUGUUCAAUUUCUGUAAUCUUUAUUCCCGUUUGUGACAUCCAUGAGGGGGUGUUGUCUUGACUCUCAGUAUAAAGGGACUCUAGUUUUGCCGUCAUAUCGAAGAGAGCAGUAAGUGCAAAAAUGGACCGCGUUUAGCAGAAAGGCACCAAGCCACAUCAAGAUUUCUAAGAGUCUUGCGGAUGCUUAGUGGCAAUUUGACAGCGAACGGAGGCUUCAGCUUCUUUCAGUAAAAUUUUCCGGGCAGACGCUUCUAAGCCCGUUUUCUCGUAACUGUAUUUGGACUGCAUGAAGCAGAAAUGAACUAGACCGAAUCAACUAUUACCAAAUGCAGGGUUGCCAGCCAAAUUAUUUUUUUCCAUUCCCUGACUUUUCCCUGACUUUUAAGUAUGGAUCUGACGCAGUCUGUUAAAGUGAAAAUGAGAGCUAUUUUCGACAAUUAAAUUUUUAGAACCGCCCGCGCCUAAUUCCACGAAAAAUCAGAAAAAUCCCUGACCAACAACGAAAUUCCCUGAUUUUCCCUGACUUUUCCCGGUUGGUUUUUUUCCCCUGACUUUUCCCGGUUUUCCCGGUAGCUGGCAACCCUGCAAAUGCAACCGGGCAGUUUAAUUUUUCACAAGAGAACGUUUGUGCGGAUUUCUUCGUAAAUUUUAAGGAAUUUGCUACGCACCAUGCGGAAAAUUCACUGAAAUUUGCACACAAAUCGCACAGCCGUUUUAAGGUAAAAAAUUAAAUUACCCCUUGGAAUUGGCAAUAUCUGAUGCGGCUCAGUUCAUCUCUGCUUCACGCGGUCCAAAUGAAGUUAUGAGAAAACGGGGGACGCGGGGAGACGCUUCUUAGCAUCUGACCGGAAAAUUUUAUUGAAAGAAGCCGCCGUUAUUAGUUAAUUGUCACUAAUCACCCAAGAGACUCUCUCUUGCAGUUUGGAUGAUUAAAAUCGACCGAUUUUAUUUCAAUUACAUAAAGAGGGUAUUUUUUAGUUUCAUGUUAGGUUAUGUGAGGCAGGACAGCCGUAAGUGCUAUCUUCGGCAUGUUUGUGUGCACAACAAACAUACUUCCAGGUUCGAAAUUGACAGAAGAGGGGAGGGGAAAACUACUGAGAUGCUCAAAAAAAUGUAUUAAAUAUUCGUGAGACAAUAAGUAUUAUGCAAAAAUAGACUAAUUGUAAGAAGAAAAAAACAUAAACAAUAAACUGCUAUUUUACACCCUCUAAACCUCGAAUAUUUUUACACUAAUGUUGAAAUCCUU
This 3248-nucleotide long non-coding RNA is filed under the name Bemisia tabaci. Its description in RNAcentral is "lncRNA ENSSSA2NGG006612". Lineage: Eukaryota; Metazoa; Arthropoda; Insecta; Hemiptera; Aleyrodidae. The record is from RNAcentral.